RNAcentral lists this ribosomal RNA (497 nucleotides) under uncultured bacterium. Its description in RNAcentral is "partial 16S ribosomal RNA". It matches the Rfam family "Bacterial small subunit ribosomal RNA", at positions 28 to 507 of the family's 1533-position model. The record is from RNAcentral.
GACGAACGCUGGCGGCGUGCCUAAUACAUGCCAGUUGAGCGCUGAAGGUUGGUACUUGUACCCACUGGAUGAGCAGCGAACGGGUGAGUAACGCGUGGGGAAUCUGCCUUUGAGCGGGGGACAACAUUUGGAAACGAAUGCUAAUACCGCAUAAAAACUUUAAACACAAGUUUUAAGUUUGAAAGAUGCAAUUGCAUCACUCAAAGAUGAUCCCGCGUUGUAUUAGCUAGUUGGUGAGGUAAAGGCUCACCAAGGCGAUGAUACAUAGCCGACCUGAGAGGGUGAUCGGCCACAUUGGGACUGAGACACGGCCCAAACUCCUACGGGAGGCAGCAGUAGGGAAUCUUCGGCAAUGGACGAAAGUCUGACCGAGCAACGCCGCGUGAGUGAAGAAGGGUUUCGGAUCGUAAAACUCUGUUGGUAGAGAAGAACGUUGGUGAGAGUGGAAAGCUCAUCAAGUGACGGUAACUACCCAGAAAGGGACGGCUAACUACGUG